Hevea brasiliensis (rubber tree) is the source of this 107-nucleotide small nucleolar RNA. The record is from RefSeq and is a predicted model, not a curated record. Lineage: Eukaryota; Viridiplantae; Streptophyta; Magnoliopsida; Malpighiales; Euphorbiaceae.
AUGCCAUGGUAUGGGCAUUCCCUUUAUAGGCCUUUGUAACUUUCCCAUCCAUCAUAGAGUGAUUCUCCUUGCCUUUGCCUGAAAGUAUUCAUCUCUAUUCUCAAUUU